Carassius gibelio (silver crucian carp) is the source of this 826-nucleotide long non-coding RNA. RefSeq lists it as uncharacterized. The record is from RefSeq and is a predicted model, not a curated record. The transcript has 5 exons. NCBI's taxonomy places the organism in Eukaryota, Metazoa, Chordata, Actinopteri, Cypriniformes, Cyprinidae.
UUUAUUUUUAUUUUUAGCUGAAAAGACAUAAAGGCAGUCAGCCCAGUGUUGUUUCUGGAGAGGGAUUCCUUCAGAAAUGGAGAAGACAGAAAGCUGCGGAGGCAGAUAUAUGCAGCAGUCUAAAAUAUCAAGCUCAACAACUCACUCAAGAGCCAACCCUCACAAACCUUCCUAAAAACUAAAAGAGCUAUUACUGAGUCUCAGCGAAUCUUGCCAUGAUCAGCUCUUCCCAGAAGAGAAGGAAGACCAAGGAAAUGAUUUGCUCAGGAUGAGGAAUGAAGAUGGCCAUCUUGUGCUCAAACAAACAGAAGUCCUCUGAUGAUCUCAUCAGCCAAAUGAGGGGUUUUGACCAAGUGAUGCUCUUGAAAGGAGUGAAAGAAGAGGAUGUGCUAAAUUCUCUUCAGAGAAAAAGCUUCUCAAAAGGUCUUAAAGCAGCUUGAAGAAUGGUCUGGGAUCUUAGGACUGAGAGAUCCUCUGGCUGAGGACAAGCUACACCACAUCAGUGCUGGAUAUCAGCCACAAACUGUUUCCAGACACGAGAGAAGAAGAACACGAUGGGGAGAUGAAACCAGUUUAGAUGUGAUGAUGGGAAUCAUUAUUUUCUGGAACAGUAUCUCAUGUCUUAUAUGUAUCACAUGAUCUGUAUCACAGUUGACUGGAUGGGACUGUGUGACUUUUAAGGACAUUUCAUCACUCAUCUGUGUGAACUGAUUUAUAUAUGAGGUUAAUGUAUUUUUGAUGAUAAUUAUUUUCAUUGAAUCUUAUUCGUCUUGAUGCUACUUUAUCAACUUUAUAGUCUAUGCUUCAAUAAAAUGAAAAUGGUGAA